This 400-nucleotide ribosomal RNA is filed under the name Campylobacter sp. oral taxon E68. RNAcentral's name for it is "bacterial SSU rRNA". It matches the Rfam family "Bacterial small subunit ribosomal RNA", at positions 79 to 494 of the family's 1533-position model. The record is from RNAcentral. Lineage: Bacteria; Pseudomonadati; Campylobacterota; Epsilonproteobacteria; Campylobacterales; Campylobacteraceae.
CUUGCUCUUUUAAAUUUAGUGGCGCACCGGGUGAGUAAUAUAUAGAUAAUCUGCCCCUUGUUGGAGGACAACAGUUAGAAAUGAACUGCUAAUACUCCAUACUCCUUUUUACCAUAAGAUAAAUCGGGAAAGAAUUUCGGCAAGGGAUGAGACUAUAUCGUAUCAGCUAGUCGGUGGGGUAACGGCCUACCGAGCUCUAUGACGCGUAACUGGUCUGAGAGGAUGAUCAGUCACAUUGGAACUGAGACACGGUCCAAACUCCUACGGGAGGCAGCAGUAGGGAAUAUUGCGCAAUGGGGGACUACCCUGACGCAGCAACGCCGCGUGGAGGAUGACACUUUUCGGAGAGUAAACUCCUUUUGUUAGUGAAGAAUAAUGAAGGACCUAACGAAUAAGCCCC